RNAcentral lists this ribosomal RNA (256 nucleotides) under uncultured bacterium. Its description in RNAcentral is "partial 16S ribosomal RNA". It matches the Rfam family "Bacterial small subunit ribosomal RNA", at positions 1246 to 1500 of the family's 1533-position model. The record is from RNAcentral.
GAAGCAAAGCCGCGAGGUAGAGCAAAUCUCAAAAAAACAAUCUCAGUUCAGACUGCAGGCUGCAACUCGCCUGCACGAAGUCGGAAUUGCUAGUAAUCGCGGAUCAGCAUGCCGCGGUGAAUACGUUCCCGGGCCUUGUACACACCGCCCGUCACACCAUGGGAGUUUGUAACGCCUAAAGUCGGUGGCCUAACCUUUAUGGAGGGAGCCGCCUAAGGCGGGACAGAUGACUGGGGUGAAGUCGUAACAAGGUAAC